UGUCCUUUUGCUGUAAUGAAUAACUGUGAGUCCUUCUACUGAAUCGUCAAACCUGAGGACUGUCUUGACAACAGGGCUUUUUGCAGCAAAUGUGUAUUUGUGCUAGAUGGACUGUUGCUCCCAGCUUUUUACCACCUCCCGCCACGCCCUUUUGCCGUGUGACUUUGGGCACCUGCCCUGGAGUAGACCAAGUCUGUCCCCACCUGCUCGAGGCUGCAUGGCCAGUGGAUAUCAGCAGAGAUCAUGCAAGAGAAGGCCUAAUGCGAGACACCAGCACCCCAGAGCAGCAAAGCCCUGGGUAGCUACUAAUCCCAGAAUGGGUGGGUAGAGUAAACGUGAGCCCCACCCACAGAUGAAGCUGCUGAGGCCUGCGUGGUCCACUGGCCCUGCUGUUUUCAGACCCAUCUGCACCCCUUUCUCCGGCUCACUGUAGACCAGUCAUUCUGAAAGAGCCCAUGAAAAACACCAAGUUCUCUCCUGCCUCAGGACUUUGUACCUGCUGCUUCAGUGCCUGGAAUACUGACUCCUUCCCAUGAAAAACACCAAGUUCUCUCCUGCCUCAGGACUUUGUACCUGCUGCUUCAGUGCCUGGAAUACUGACUCCUUCCCAUGAAAAACACCAAGUUCUCUCCUGCCUCAGGACUUUGUGCCUGCUGCUUCAGUGCCUGGAAUACUCAUUCCUUCCAUUGUUUGCACAAGCACCGCCAGGGGGUGGGGCUCACAGAGGCGCACUGCGGCAGGAACUGGAUGUGGGUGUCAAGGUGGUCACAGAACAGACGGCUGGGUCAGCUCCCCAAGGAGAAGCCCUGAGCUGCCCAACAGGUCCCUCUUAGGCCCCACACUUCAGAGGCAGGGCUGCCACGCAUGCCUCCUGGAUCACCUCUUGGUGUCCCAUGGCCCCUGUGGGGCUCCUACCUGGCACAUCCUCACCUCCAGGCUCCCCCGGCUCCAACUCAGCAGGGAGGUGGGAGGUUGACGGGAGCAGGCAGGCAUGGGAGGGCUCAGCCGGGGUAUGAGGGGUGGGCAGAGUCCCCCCACCUGGCUCACCCUUUCUCUUCCUCUCCUCCUCUGGGCACCUUCUUUGACUCCCACAGGCUCCUAGCUCAGACCUCUCCACUCUUCCUGGCUUUCCUUCAGGGAGGUCAGGAAAGUCAGGGACCCGUGGAUAAAGACCAGGAGAACACAAUGAGCAGAAAAGCGUAGGCGAGCAGCUGGCAGCCACCAUCGCAUUUGCUCCCGGAAGGCAAGAGGAGGCAGAGAAAAUUCCAGAACCCAUUUAAGCGUCUGGGACCCUGAGUCUAGAACCUGGAGAUUUGGUCUUCUGGAAACGACAUCAGAGAGAGACUGCCCUUGAACCCCAUUGGAAGAGACCCUACCAAGUUCUUCUCACCACCCACACGGCAGUAAAACUUCAAGGCCUCAAACUUUGGAUUCACAUCUCAUAAGUCAAAAGGGCCCCUCCAGGCUCCUGGAACCGUAUACGUGUUGGAGACCUCAACGGAAAGCUGACAAGGGAGGUUUUUCUUCAGAUGCAGGUGGGAUCCUGGAUGUGGGCGGCUUUCCCAAGGUCACAAAUCCAGACUUCUCUGUCUUCACGAAAGCCUUUUAUUUUUUCCUUUUUUUAUUUCCUGUUGUCUUAGUCCCUUCCCUUUCCUUACAGGAGAAUCCACUGGACCAUAAUCUGUGGAUGGCUUUAGUACAGGCUUAUGCUCUAGCAAGAAACCAGAUAAAUUGUUGAGUCUGUGGGCUAAUGCCCCCCAAAUGAGGAAACAAUUCCACUGAUGCCAGUGCCUCUCCAUAUUCCGAAUAAGUCACCCUGGGCCGGGUGCGG
This 1831-nucleotide long non-coding RNA is filed under the name Homo sapiens (human). RNAcentral's name for it is "HSALNT0317844". The record is from RNAcentral. Lineage: Eukaryota; Metazoa; Chordata; Mammalia; Primates; Hominidae.